RNAcentral lists this ribosomal RNA (267 nucleotides) under uncultured beta proteobacterium Herbi16S-10-60. RNAcentral describes it as "partial 16S ribosomal RNA". It matches the Rfam family "Bacterial small subunit ribosomal RNA", at positions 229 to 488 of the family's 1533-position model. RNAcentral also lists the same sequence under 5 other names. The record is from RNAcentral. Lineage: Bacteria; Pseudomonadati; Pseudomonadota; Betaproteobacteria; Nitrosomonadales; Nitrosomonadaceae.
GCCGAUGUCUGAUUAGCUAGUUGGUGAGGUAAAGGCUUACCAAGGCGACGAUCAGUAGCUGGUCUGAGAGGACGACCAGCCACACUGGGACUGAGACACGGCCCAGACUCCUACGGGAGGCAGCAGUGGGGAAUUUUGGACAAUGGGGGAAACCCUGAUCCAGCCAUGCCGCGUGAGUGAAGAAGGCCUUCGGGUUGUAAAGCUCUUUCAGCCGGAACGAAACGGUCACGGCUAAUACCUGUGACUACUGACGGUACCGGAAGAAGA